This 433-nucleotide ribosomal RNA is filed under the name uncultured bacterium. Its description in RNAcentral is "partial 16S ribosomal RNA". It matches the Rfam family "Bacterial small subunit ribosomal RNA", at positions 29 to 507 of the family's 1533-position model. The record is from RNAcentral.
AACGAACGCUGGCGGCAUGCCUAACACAUGCAAGUCGAACGAGACCUUCGGGUCUAGUGGCGCACGGGUGCGUAACGCGUGGGAACCUGCCCUUAGGUUCGGAAUAACUCCCCGAAAGGGGUGCUAAUACCGGAUAAUGUCUUCGGACCAAAGAUUUAUCGCCUUUGGAUGGGCCCGCGUUGGAUUAGCUAGUUGGUAGGGUAAAAGCCUACCAAGGCGACGAUCCAUAGCUGGUCUGAGAGGAUGAUCAGCCACACUGGGACUGAGACACGGCCCAGACUCCUACGGGAGGCAGCAGUGGGGAAUAUUGGACAAUGGGCUAAAGCCUGAUCCAGCAAUGCCGCGUGAGUGAUGAAGGCCUUAGGGUUGUAAAGCUCUUUUACCCGGGAUGAUAAUGACAGUACCGGGAGAAUAAGCUCCGGCUAACUCCGUG